GUCCUUUCUUUGGCAGCACACAUACUAAAAUUGGAAUGAUACAGAGAAAAUUAACAUGGCCUUUGUGCAAGUAUAACAUUCAAAUUUGUGAAGCAAUCCACAUUUUA
Sciurus carolinensis (gray squirrel) is the source of this 107-nucleotide small nuclear RNA. The record is from RefSeq and is a predicted model, not a curated record. Lineage: Eukaryota; Metazoa; Chordata; Mammalia; Rodentia; Sciuridae.